This is a long non-coding RNA of Sinocyclocheilus anshuiensis, 2087 nucleotides long. RefSeq lists it as uncharacterized. The transcript is spliced from 4 exons. NCBI's taxonomy places the organism in Eukaryota, Metazoa, Chordata, Actinopteri, Cypriniformes, Cyprinidae. The record is from RefSeq and is a predicted model, not a curated record.
AGUAUUAAUUUCCUUCAAAAAAAUGUUUUUGAAAGGUAGUGUACAGUACCUUAAAAGCACAUUUCUAUCGUUUUUAUUAGAGCACCCAUAAAUCUGUCUCAGCCAUUAGAAUGGCUUUGAGGAAGGAGGGUGAGAUUCUGCAGCAGUGUCGGAUCCGAUGGUGUUUCAGGAGCACAGUCCUUUACAAUCCAUUCAUUCUCCCUACAGUAUGCAACACUCACUUUCCAUCAUCCAAUUCUUGAUGGAUAAAAUAUUAAAGUACAACCCUGCGUUUUGUUUGUGAAUGCUCUGUUCCACUUAAACUGGGUGCACAUGCCAUUUCAUGUUGACUUGCACUCUUCUGGACAUCUUUCAUCAUGAACGUUUUAGAAAGUCUGGAUUUCUCAAACACGUCUGAUUGUAUUACAUCUAUUGCCUACAUGUGCAUUCAUACCUUGUUUAUGCAAAUACACAUUAAACCACAGGUUUUUGAUCUGCAUAUGGUACAAACAAUGAGUAUUAACAUAUUGUGAAUCUUACUUGUGAAUUCAUGUUGUUGUUUUUUUUACUUUUUUCUGCCCUUUUAAUUUUGAACGCGUCAGCUGUGUUUGGUAUACUUGAUGGUUUUUCUUUGUUUCCAUAGCUUUUUUUUUUAAAGAAAGAAAAGAAAAAGUGAGCGCCCUGCCGGUACGGCCACCAUAUGUCUAUUUAUAGACAUGUCCUCUACGUCUUAAGUUAUUUGUCUCCUUCCAGUGACUUGUCCUGGGAUUUCCUGCUUUUUUUCCUUCUCUCCAUUUUUGGCAUUAUUCCUCCUUUCAUUUAUCCAUUUCAUCCAUCGGGCCUGUGUUUGAAAGAUAUGCUUUCGUUCUUUUUUUGAUUUAUUCAAAAUGUACUCUAGAAUUUUAGCGUCAAAUAUUUGCCUUGGGUCUGCAAACAGAAAUGGUGCUUCUCCCUGUAUUAGUCAUUCUACUUGUGGAGAGAGUAAUUUUUUGAUAAUGUUGAUAUGAAAGAGCAGUGCUGUGGUUUAUGCGGCUCAUAGCGUCAUGAUUGUGUGCACAGUUUGCAAUGCAAAUGAGUCUCUGUAGCAGCUUCAUAGUGCGUCCUAACGCCAGAGCUCUUUUAUUUGUGUUUUCCUCUCUGUGUAAAAUGCCAAACUCCUCGAGUCAUUGGGUUCUUCUUGCUUAAUCAGUGCUUUUGUAGUCCACACUGCUUUUAGCCUUAAAGAAAAAGAGGAAACGUGGGAGUUUCCUGCUGUAUAUUUGAUUUUUGGAUUCUAUUAAACUGUUGGUACUCUGUUUUAAUUUCAUUAUUGUGUGUGUGUGUGUGUGUGUGUGUGUGUGUGUGUGUGAAGAAUGACCGUGUCCUCUUGAUGAGUCCAGGCAGCUGACGCUCGGAAGCGCCCUGUGGAAAUGUCAGCUGUAAUUAGCGCUUGUUAAGCAAAUGGCAGGGGUAAUGACCUCGUCGUCUCCCUGCCCACAGACUGUUUGACUGUUGACUGACUGCGACCGAACCGGCAUUAAACAUUUAUUAUUCAAUUUGACCGCUACGUCCAAGGUGUUGAUGAGCACUCCUGGAUGCUGCGAAUUUCGGGGGGGAUUAUGGGACGCCAUAAUGGCUAAUUGUGCAGUUCGGUGCUUAUUUUUAGCUGUCCUGUCAAAGAUUAGGACACAUACGAGGGAAAGAAACCGAAGGACAAAAGAGCUCCCAUCCAUCAGGAGGCAGGAAUGGUUCUCCCAUGCAGAAGGACUCGGUCUGCGGCUGAAAUAUUGAUCACAGCGGCUCAUGGAAGAGCUGCCACCCAAAGCCCGUGACAGCGCUCGGGUCACUGUGACAAAGACAGAGAUCUCAUAUCUCCAGAAGUCUCUGAGGCUGUGCCGUUUGGAGGGUGUUAUGUAAUGCACAACUCACGCAACAAACAUCAGCCGCACAUUAGGCUUGAAUAAAUAUCACAAACGCAGCUUCAUAUUCAUGAGCUCAGUGACAUGUCAGGACAUGCGAGAGAUGGAUUGAGAUAUUUCACGCCUAUACCUCCUACACGAUUCUCAGAGUUUAUAAUCAGCAUAUGUUGUGCACACCUUCAAAGAUGUGAUAGUUUGCACAUAAUAACU